GGUUAAGUUAACAAAACUAUUAUCCUUCAAAGAUAAAUUUACUAUAUAGGUACCUUUAAAUCU
RNAcentral lists this transfer RNA (63 nucleotides) under Neomysis orientalis. RNAcentral's name for it is "tRNA-Trp". The record is from RNAcentral. Lineage: Eukaryota; Metazoa; Arthropoda; Malacostraca; Mysida; Mysidae.